RNAcentral lists this long non-coding RNA (1042 nucleotides) under Setaria viridis. RNAcentral describes it as "long non-coding RNA (SVIR_LNC011081)". The record is from RNAcentral. Lineage: Eukaryota; Viridiplantae; Streptophyta; Magnoliopsida; Poales; Poaceae.
AGUAAACAAGGGCUAGUUACACAACCAGUGUUAGAAGGAUACUGAUAACAUGAUUGGUGUGUCUUGGACGACAGGGGAGUGAGGGAAUUUCCCUGGCCCUGCCCUGGUUUAUCAUAUGGUCACAUCGACGACCGAAUGGUCCAAUUAUUGGGGCAUCGGAGCCUCAGCAGAGCCACACAACCUGAAGCGGCUGCCUCCUCAGAUUGGAACAAGAAACGAACCCACUUGAAGGAGACAGGGACGGAGGGACCCUUCCCAGCCCAAUCCCAAUUGGUUCCCCCUUGAUUUCAUAUCAUCAUAUGCAAUGCACCUCGCAAUCAACGCCACACAGUACAACCGAUCGAGUACUGAAUCUGGUUUCUGCUCAAUGUCUUUUACAAACUGACAAAAACUUAGCAUGCAUUUCACAAAUAUUCUUCCUGUAGCAGUAGUACUAGGGGUGUUUGGAUACCCUGCUAAAUUUUAGCAUCUGUCACAUUGGAUGUUUGGAUACUAAUUAGGAGUAUUAAAUAUAGUCUAAUUACAAAACUAAUUGUACAGAUGGAGUCUAAUUCGCGAGACGAAUCUAUUAAACCUAAUUAGUCCAUAAUUUGAUAAUGUGGGGCUACAAUAACCAUUUGCUAAUGAUGGAUUAAUUAGCUUUAAUAGAUUCGUCUCGCGAAUUAGACUCCAUAUGUGCAAUUAGUUUUGUAAUUAGUUCAUGUUUAGUCCUCCUAAUUAGUAUCCGAACAUCCGAUGUGAUCCUACUAAAGUUUAGCACCUCGUAUCCAACAACCCCUUACGUGAAACUACCGAAAUAUCGACGACCUUACAUGAAACUGCCGAAAACCGGCAUGCCAUCGACGAAGAACACGAAGUUAGCAUAACAAAGACAACAACAGCAAGAUCGAACAGGCAGGAGGUGCCUGCAGCUGGUACAGGUUGCGGCAGCUGAGCCAAGCAGCCCGGCGUCUCGAGUCACAGCACUUUUAUUGCCCCGGCAGCGCCACCGCAACCGCAGAGAGCAGGAGGCGCGAUGCUGAGCUCCAGAUUGUUGAUGGCG